This 468-nucleotide ribosomal RNA is filed under the name uncultured bacterium. Its description in RNAcentral is "partial 16S ribosomal RNA". It matches the Rfam family "Bacterial small subunit ribosomal RNA", at positions 28 to 523 of the family's 1533-position model. The record is from RNAcentral.
GAUGAACGCUGGCGGCGUGCCUAACACAUGCAAGUCGAGCGAUUCUCUUCGGAGAAGAGCGGCGGACGGGUGAGUAACGCGUGGGUAACCUGCCCUGUACACACGGAUAACAUACCGAAAGGUAUGCUAAUACGAGAUAAUAUGCUUUUAUCGCAUGGUAGAAGUAUCAAAGCUUUUGCGGUACAGGAUGGAACCGCGGCUGAUUAGCUAGUUGGUAAGGUAACGGCUUACGAAGGCGACGAUCAGUAGCCGACCUGAGAGGGUGAUCGGCCACAUUGGAACUGAGACACGGUCCAAACUCCUACGGGAGGCAGCAGUGGGGAAUAUUGCACAAUGGGCGAAAGCCUGAUGCAGCAACGCCGCGUGAGCGAUGAAGGCCUUCGGGUCGUAAAGCUCUGUCCUCAAGGAAGAUAAUGACGGUACUUGAGGAGGAAGCCCCGGCUAACUACGUGCCAGCCGCCGCAGUAA